Molecule: ribosomal RNA, 293 nt
Filed under: uncultured bacterium
Lineage: Bacteria
Description: partial 16S ribosomal RNA
Rfam family: Archaeal small subunit ribosomal RNA
Source: RNAcentral
GUGCCAGCCGCCGCGGUAAUACCGGCAGCCCGAGUGAUGGCCGAUCUUAUUGGGCCUAAAGCGUCCGUAGCUGGCUGCGCAAGUCCGUCGGGAAAUCCACUCGCCCAACGAGUGGGCGUCCGACGGAAACUGCACAGCUUGGGACCGGAAGGCUCGAAGGGUACGUUCGGGGUAGGAGUGAAAUCCUGUAAUCCUGAACGGACUACCGAUGGCGAAAGCACCUCGAGAGAACGGAUCCGACAGUGAGGAACGAAAGCUGGGGUCUCGAACCGGAUUAGAAACCCGGGUAGUCC